RNAcentral lists this ribosomal RNA (497 nucleotides) under uncultured bacterium. RNAcentral's name for it is "partial 16S ribosomal RNA". It matches the Rfam family "Bacterial small subunit ribosomal RNA", at positions 28 to 507 of the family's 1533-position model. The record is from RNAcentral.
GAUGAACGCUGGCGGCGUGCCUAAUACAUGCAAGUCGAGCGAACAGACGAGGAGCUUGCUCCUCUGACGUUAGCGGCGGACGGGUGAGUAACACGUGGAUAACCUACCUAUAAGACUGGGAUAACUUCGGGAAACCGGAGCUAAUACCGGAUAAUAUAUAGAACCGCAUGGUUCAAUAGUGAAAGACGGUUUUGCUGUCACUUAUAGAUGGAUCCGCGCCGCAUUAGCUAGUUGGCAAGGUAACGGCUUACCAAGGCAACGAUGCGUAGCCGACCUGAGAGGGUGAUCGGCCACACUGGAACUGAGACACGGUCCAGACUCCUACGGGAGGCAGCAGUAGGGAAUCUUCCGCAAUGGGCGAAAGCCUGACGGAGCAACGCCGCGUGAGUGAUGAAGGUCUUCGGAUCGUAAAACUCUGUUAUUAGGGAAGAACAAAUGUGUAAGUAACUAUGCACGUCUUGACGGUACCUAAUCAGAAAGCCACGGCUAACUACGUG